This is a long non-coding RNA of Momordica charantia (bitter melon), 2536 nucleotides long. RefSeq lists it as uncharacterized. NCBI's taxonomy places the organism in Eukaryota, Viridiplantae, Streptophyta, Magnoliopsida, Cucurbitales, Cucurbitaceae. The record is from RefSeq and is a predicted model, not a curated record.
AUCAAAUGGGCCUGGCUUUGCAUUUGGAGAUAGGGCCUUCAGGCCCAAUUAGCGGUCGCAAUAACCCGAGGCCCAUACGGAAUUACUUCUCCAUCGAGGCACAAACCGCCAAGAAGUUGAAUAGUUCCCUCUAGCGAACCGGGAUCGUCUUCAGAACAGAAGACGAUUUCCUCUACAAUUUCAACUAUUCGAUUAAUUUUUUUCUUGUUUCAGAAGUCAAAAUCAUUCUGCAAAGAGAUUCUACAAUUCAACAUCAAUGGCGAGCGGUAAUCAUAGCGUGCUCCGAAAACGAUUAGGUGUAGUGGACGUCUGACACGUGUUUGUGAAAUUUUCUCACCGAGCUUUGAUGAACAACGGCGAAUUUGACGUGGACAAAAUGGCGUUCAAGAUUGCUGUCGCUAAUGGAGUUCAAUUAAUAUGUUAACCGCAAGCCAGAAAGUUGGGGAACAAUCGUAUUGGUGCUGCAAUAUCGGUACGCUAGGCCUGCUUUCUUAUCCUUAGCACUGCCGGAUCAUGUCGACCAUGGAAGCUACAUAAACGAACUUCGUGACCUUUAUAUCCUUAGCAUUGUCCAAUAUAUGGUGGAUGUUUCCCGGCGUCUCGUCAAACAGUCAAAUUCAUCAAUGGGAGCUGAAAAGCAAACAGCAUUAUAGUUUGCGUUUAAGCAACAGCAAUUAUGAGAUUGACUGGGGUCGGAAAAUUCACUUGUCCACGACGCGAUUCAGAAUUUUAACAGCCAAUUUAGAAAUAUAUGACGUCGUUUCAUUACUUCAUCAUCAUCGUCGUGGAAAUGAAGUUUGAUUGGUGAGGUAGAAUCUUCCCUUGGUGGUCCAUGUUGUAAAGUAUGCGCGCCACUACUUUUGCACGCUAGGUGUUUGAUGAAACGCCUCUGAAUAAUUUGGUUACCCCCCGGCAUGGUUCUUUCAUUUUUUUAAUGCGAAAAGUCUCCACUAAUCAUAAGAUUGAAUUAUCUCCUCUGACCGGUCAGUAAUCUCUAUUAUAGGUUGUAGGCUCGAGUUCCACUUAUUGUUUGAAUUGUAAUAAAAGGAAAAAUUAUCUCUACUCAGCAUCACGCAUGUUUUGGUUCCAUAUGAUACAAUUACUUCAAAAUUUGUGCACUAAGAGUCAAAAUCAGACCAAAAAUUUUACUUUUUAUUACAACUUAACAUCUUUAUCCUAACCACCCAUUUGCACCCCAUGGGGAAGUAAGCUGAUUUGCACAACUUUUUGAAUUCUGUUUGGAUACUUAUUGCAAAGAGUCAUCGAAAUUUUAGUCCAAUAAUGAUUAAAAGUUAUUAUUAAAUGAAACUGUUUGUCAAGUUUGCUUUCUGUUGGCAGAAAUGUUGGACUAAAACUCCAAUGGCACAGGUUCAGCCCCUGGAAAUUGGUUGAAGGGUCAGCAAUCGGAGGACAUAAAGGCGCUGAUCUUAAACGACAAUUCAUUAGAUUAAGUCUAAAGAGUCUGCAGAAGAAGCAUAAAGCCAUGCUGUUCUCUAAUUGUUUGACAUUAUUUUGCUGCCUUACUUGCACACAGGGGAAGGAAUCAAUGGGCAGCUGGAUUCAACGUUUAAUUACUUUUGCCCGUUUUAAUUUGAAACAAGAAGAAUGCCAUCCCCUGAAAUGGAUGACAGUAAUCCAGGUUGGAUAGUCAACUUUCUACACUCGUUUUUGGUUGAGUUGUUCCGUAAGAUCCUUAGCUUGACGAGAAGUUCUUUGAAGUUUGAACCGGGAAUGAAGAGUAAGAAUUCAUAUUUAGUAAUGGGAUUUCUUUCAACUACUACUUCGUAAAACAAUUUUGAAUGAUUGUUAUCUUGAAAAUACACCCAAUAUUGUUGUUAGUUUUAUAAAUUAUAUUAGAUGGUGCAAGUAAAAAAAAAUUGGAGAGCUGUAAAUCCAAAUUUGGACAACUUUCUGUUAGAUAUUUUUGUUUAGAAUUGCUCUGUGUACGAUAACCAUGAAGAAGGAAGAAACAAGCUAGUGCAAUCUUGGUAUAUUCCGGAUUCUAAGUUAUAUCACAUGACAAAGUAUACGAGUUUGUUCCUUUCUCGAAAACAGAGCUUAUCAUCAUGUGUCGAAGCAAAUUGAUACUUGAUAGGAGCAUUUUUUUACGUCAGCAAGUAAAAAAGUAUUUUCAGAAAAGGAAAAAGGAAACCCAUAAAUUUGGCUAUGUCCCCACCAUAACUGAAGAUCUAGGCUUGGAAAUGAAAUGACUAUAAUGUCCAACAUUGUAUAUAUAUGAUGAUGAUGAUAUGAAGAAUAUGGGAGUUGUAUUGUUGUAUAUCAGCCAUGCAUUUGCAUGUACGAAAUACACUGUGGCUGUAGCGCACGUUUCAUUUUGUUGUCUCAAUGGCCACACACACAUCCACACCCACACCACACAUGGGGCUGGUCUAUUACUGUGCCUCCAUAUGCCUCUUCCAUUUUUUUCGUUAUAAUUUUCUAUCAUUCGAAAGGGAAAUUUCAUCCAUUGAAAUGACACCAAGUUCAAUAUUCCCCCCUCCCCACAGAAAAAAAGAAAAAAGAAAAAAGAAAAAAA